This is a non-coding RNA of Chlorocebus sabaeus (green monkey), 4987 nucleotides long. NCBI's taxonomy places the organism in Eukaryota, Metazoa, Chordata, Mammalia, Primates, Cercopithecidae. The record is from RefSeq and is a predicted model, not a curated record.
ACAGCUCCCAGCACGCCCCACGGGCCCACGCCCGCCAGGACUACAAUUCCCGGCGUCCUCCGGAAGCUCAAGCGUACCCAGGCGCGGCGCCUGCUGGGAAUUAUAGUUGUCGUUGGUCAGCACGCGGGCCACGGGAUCCCAGCCCCGCCUUUGUGGGACUGAGGUGGCGCUGAGUGGGAGAGCCGCAGGGGAUGCGCGAAAGGCGGGACGUGGAGGGAAAGUGAUCUGCCAUGCAGUCGACACCUCCAGGCCUCAGCCUGUUGUUGGGAAUCCAAGGUAACAAUAAUUUUAUCAGGAUCAUAUCCUGUAAGCACUUUUGAUCUAUGCCUGCCUAUUGUUAUAAAUUGUGUGACUAAAGAAAGAUAAACUUGCAAGGAUUUUACUAUUUGGAUAAAAAAAAACCAUUCUAUUACCAUUAUAAUUUUGUCUAUGAAUUGACCUAAAAGUCCUGCUGGAGAAUGGGGGGUAGCAAGAAAAAACAAAAGCAAAGUCUUUUGUGGUUGUAGCCGGGAGUCAUGUCAUUGCUGAAACAUCUGUUCUACAAGCUGUAAUUCAGCUUCUGCCUCCUUAGUAAGUUGCCGAGGGGAAUCUAAUGAAGAAUCUCCUUGGAGGGUUUGAUAAAGAUGAGUGAGUUGAUAAGGAGCAAUACCUAGCAUUGGGCGCAGCCAAUUAAUAUCCCCUAAUAACUGUUGAAAGUUAUUCAGAGUUUGUAAUUUGUUCUUACAAAGAGCUACUUUCUAAGGCUAAAUACUUUUUUCAGUAACAAUAGUACCUAAGUAGUGGUAUGGGGAGGUUGUUUGCACCUUUUCAGGAGCUAUUUUGAGAUUCCAUUGAGUUAAAGCCCAUUUUAUUUCUCUGAAUAACUGGUAUAAUACUUGAUCUGUAGGAGCGACCAAAAAAAACAUUAUCCAUAUAAUGAAUGACAUAGGUGGUGGGAAACAUAUUCUGAGGCUCCUUCAAUGCUUUUCCUACAAAAUGCUGACAUAACAUAGGACUGUUGAGCAUGCCCUGGGGUAAUAGAACUUUUCAUUGAUCAUGAGAGACAGGCUCUCUGUGAUUAACAGAAGGCACAGAGAAGGCGAAUUGAGGCUUGUCCUUCUUGUGUAAUGGUAUAGUAAAAAUACAGUCUUUAAGAUCUAUUACUACAAGAGGCUAAUCUUUUGGAAUGGCUGCCGGGGAUGGCAGACCUUGCUGUAAUGCACCCACUGGUUUAAUUUGUGCAUUAACUCUCAAAUUAUGCAGCAGUUGCCAUUUUCCUGACUUUUUUGGGGUCACAAAUACUGGUGAAUUCCAAGCACUAACUGAUUCUUUUGUACAGCCUGCAUCCAACUGCUUUCUUACCAGCUGAUGGAGUUGAGUCAGUUUCUCCUGUGAUAGGGGCCAUUGAUCCACCCACACAGGUUUAUCAGUCAGCCACUCUAGCGGCAAGGCAGUGGGUGGAGGAGAAGUAUCAAUGACCCCUAUCAGAAAUUCUGAUGCCCUAGCCCUGUCCUAUCCGUUUGCCCAGUUACCGAUAUUGGAUUGGGGUUUCCCUGUAGGAACUUUCCCAAGCCUUUCCCACUCUGAUAUCACAUUUCCUUCAAUAUUUUGAAUCCUGGAUUAUCAAACUUUUCAUUUGUGAGUCUCAUAUCCCAUGCUGUAAGUAAAUCUCAGCCCCAGAGAUUUGCAACUUAAGGUUGAAAAGUACAUGGCUGUCCAUCUGGACCGAGACGAAGUAAAAUUUCAGCACUCUGUUGAACACUUUGAGCUGUUCCUACUCCCACUAAGGAUGUAGAGGUUAAUUGCAGGGGCCAAGAUGGGGGUCAACUGUUUUGGGAUAUUACUGAAACAUCUGCUCCCGUGUCCACACGUCCAUAGCACUUCUUUCCUUUAAUUUGCACCGCACAGGUGGGUCAAUUAGAAGCUAUGGGUUGGGAUGGGUAAAUUUCAUGUGUAGUUGUACUCCCAAAUUCUUGAUUUCCUGUUUUCUCCUUUUGUGAAGAAGGGUGUAAUUUGCAGAGAAUAAUAAUAAUAAGCAAUAGCUGAGCAAUAUAUUCCCCAGGUUUAAAAACCCAAAGAUGUUGUGACAUUACAAUUACUUGAAUUUCUCUUUCAUAAUCAGAGUCAACAAUCCCAGGGACCACAGUAAUGCCCUGUAAGUUAAGAUGGCUUUGGCCUAAAAUUAAUCCUUUAUAUCCUGUUGGCAAAGGUCCCCAAAUGUCGGUGGGAAUUUUGGUGGGUUUCUCUCCUCCAACUAACGUGACCCUUUCUCUGACUGGGCGAUCUAAUCCUGCACUCCCGGGUGUUCCAGAGGAGAGGGAGUCAAUGUUCCUCCAGGAACCCACCCCUGUAGCCGGGUUGUGGCCUGGAUGGGGAAUGCCCUCAUUGUUUGAGGGGCUGGGCCCAGGCCCCAUUUUCAUUUCCUGACAGCGGGGUGCCAUUCUGAUGAAAUUUUGAGCAAUAUUGAUUAGCCCAAUGAUUUCCUUUAUUAUGGCAAGGGCAGAGUCCUGGUGUUUGUGUGUGUGUGUGUGUUUGGGGAGGGGGCAGGUACUGCAUUAUAAGAUCCCUUCCGCCUAGAGGUCUGAUGGCAUUCUUUUUUGAAAUGUCCAAUUUUUCCACAGUUAUAACAUUUUCCCACUUUAGGGCUCAACCCUUGGCCCUUUUCAGAUUUGUUCACUACUAAAUUAGCCAUUGCUUGAGCUAACAUUGUUGAACGAUGGAGUUCAGUUCCCACACCUCACAGGCUUUGAGAAAAUUUCCCAAGCUCUUUGUACAUCUCACAGGUGCUAAUGCACAUUUACAAUCUGCAUUUGCAUUUUCAAAAGCUAGGGUCAAAGUAAGCAUUUUCGCAGCAGCAGUAUGAGGAAUUUGACGCUGCACUGCCUGUUGUAACCAUGCAAUAAACUGUGCAUAGAGCUCUUGUGAUUUUUGCAUGAUAUGCGGAAAAGAUCAUACUGGGACCCCAUUCUCAGGAAUGGUGGCCCAGGCAUGCUUAGCGGCCAAGGCACACUGAUGGUAAGCAGCAUCUGGAAGUGCAAUUGUUGCACCAGGUCUGAAUAAGAGUCACUACCCAACAGCAUUUCCUCUGUAAUGUUCCCAUGUCCAGCGGCAAGAUUCUGUCUAGCCUGGUCUGCACACAUUUCUUGCCAAUUUAAAUUCCAUGUCAGAUAUGCACUAGCGGACAAACAAGUGCAAGCUAAAUGCUUUAUAUCCAAGGGUGGGAAGCACACAGCGCUGAAUACAGAUUCUAACAAUCCUAAAGUAAAUGGGCUGUGUAUUCCAUUAGUAACCACACUAGCUUUUAAUUAUUUCAAUAAUUUAAAUUUUACUGGAGUGUGUUCAUGAAUAAACUGCUAUGGAUUUUUUGGAUCAGGCCUUAAGGUGAUAGGAAAAGCGCAAGGUCCUAGUGGCUCGCCAGCUAUGGCUGCAGCACGCAGAAUUUUUUGUAUUGGGAUCUCUAUUUCUGCUACUGGGGGCAGUACAGGCCAGUUCUCAUCCUCCCUCUCCUGUUUAUCAUUUUCAAUAGGCACUGUUGGUGAGACAAAAGAUUCUGCCAUUUUUGAGAUUCAGAACGUAGCUCCUGCUGUCCAGCAGAAUAAGAAGGGGACAAUGGCAGGAGGACAGUACAGACCAAACCCCAAGCAGAGAAAACAGAAGGAUCCACUUUAAGAGCUUUCUGAUAAGCUCGUUUCAAUCCUUCUCCUACUUGGUCUCAAUUUUCCACAGCCAGGGUACCUGUCUGCAGAAACCAUGGGUUAUGUGUAAUAACCUCCUGUAAAAGCUUAAUGUUUGAGAACUAACCUGAGCACCAGAUUAAGUAAAACUUUAAGCAGCUGCACAUAAUGUUGCUCCUCAGUAGACAAAUUCUGCCCCAUGUUACCCUGAUUCAGAAACUCCUCAGGGAACUGACCUUAUAUUCUCCACCUGCAGACUCUUCCUUCCAGGGGUUCCUAGUUCCUCUAAUCAGUUUCACUUUCUCUGCUCUGGCAGACCUUCCUCGUUCAGGUCCCUGGUCGGGCACUACUUGUCAGGGUUGCCUCUGGACCAAGUGGAGGACGAAGGCAGAAAUGAAGACAAAGACAAAAGGAACUGUUUGAAAGAAGGGGUCAGGGGGCUCCUUGAUUCUAGGGAACAAGGGCCCUGAGCUUUUACAGCCCUUCAUAUUUAUUAGGUAGAGUGAAUAGGGAGGAAGGGGUAACUGUCGGUCAGCUAUUUGAUUUAACACAGGCCCACAUAAUUGCUUUCUUUGUUCAACAGGUUCCAGAUGUUCCUGUAGAUAACCUCAAGGAGCACGGGAUGUGGGGCAUGACUGCCCCCCAGCAUUCUUUCUGGGGGCAGACGCGGUUUGUCAGUUUGCCGACAUCCUGCCUUCAUGAGAACAGUUUGCGGUUUGCUCAUAGAGCCUCCAGUGGACCCUCAUUCCUUCGGCCUGCAGCACAGGACCCUCCCCUCCCAGGAGCGCAUAAGCGGUGACACCUGGCCAGACACGGGAGGUAGCGCCCUCACGCACCGCGCGCGCCUCUGCGCGCACCCACCGGGGGUCGCGUUUGCCUCACGGGUCCCACCCGCCCACUCGUUCACUCCCACCGCCAGCACGCUCAGGCCAGGGCGCCUGUCCAUCCCUCACAGUCACCCUCGCCGCUCCUCCACACACCACUCACCACUGAGGCAGCCUCCUCAGAGCAGGCCCCGCGAUAGUCCGCACGCCCGGCCGCGUCUUACACACCGCCGCCAGCACUUCCGUUACGCACUUCCGUCCGGUGGCCAGCGGCCGCCCAGGACUUCACCUCCCAGAAGGCCCUUCGCUUUCCUGCCUGGAAACGGGCAUGCACGGGAUACAAGGCCUUUUGGGAAAUGGAGUUCCCAGCGCUGCGGGGCCGGAAGCGGGGCGUGGGAGCUGCAGAUGGUCAGAACCUGUCGGUUCUGCGCAGGCAGCGCACCUAAAGGGAAGUAUAUUGACAUCCAUGGUUUUAUAUGUUCUUUGAAAUAUACAGCAUGUGUACUUUUU